RNAcentral lists this ribosomal RNA (492 nucleotides) under uncultured bacterium. Its description in RNAcentral is "partial 16S ribosomal RNA". It matches the Rfam family "Bacterial small subunit ribosomal RNA", at positions 29 to 507 of the family's 1533-position model. The record is from RNAcentral.
AGUGAACGCUGGCGGUAGGCCUAACACAUGCAAGUCGAACGGCAGCACAGUAAGAGCUUGCUCUUACGGGUGGCGAGUGGCGGACGGGUGAGGAAUACAUCGGAAUCUACUUUUUCGUGGGGGAUAACGUAGGGAAACUUACGCUAAUACCGCAUACGACCUACGGGUGAAAGCAGGGGAUCUUCGGACCUUGCGCGAUUGAAUGAGCCGAUGUCGGAUUAGCUAGUUGGCGGGGUAAAGGCCCACCAAGGCGACGAUCCGUAGCUGGUCUGAGAGGAUGAUCAGCCACACUGGAACUGAGACACGGUCCAGACUCCUACGGGAGGCAGCAGUGGGGAAUAUUGGACAAUGGGCGCAAGCCUGAUCCAGCAAUACCGAGUGGGUGAAGAAGGCCUUCGGGUUGUAAAGCCCUUUUGUUGGGAAAGAAAAGCAGCAGGUUAAUACCCAGCUGUUCUGACGGUACCCAAAGAAUAAGCACCGGCUAACUUCGUG